Molecule: ribosomal RNA, 492 nt
Filed under: uncultured bacterium
Lineage: Bacteria
Description: partial 16S ribosomal RNA
Rfam family: Bacterial small subunit ribosomal RNA
Source: RNAcentral
AGUGAACGCUGGCGGUAGGCCUAACACAUGCAAGUCGAACGGCAGCACAGUAAGAGCUUGCUCGUACGGGUGGCGAGUGGCGGACGGGUGAGGAAUACAUCGGAAUCUACUUUUUCGUGGGGGAUAACGUAGGGAAACUUACGCUAAUACCGCAUACGACCUACGGGUGAAAGCAGGGGAUCUUCGGACCUUGCGCGAUUGAAUGAGCCGAUGUCGGAUUAGCUAGUUGGCGGGGUAAAGGCCCACCAAGGCGACGAUCCGUAGCUGGUCUGAGAGGAUGAGCGGCCACACUGGAACUGGGAGACGGUCCAGACUCCUACGGGAGGCAGCAGUGGGGAAUAUUGGACAAUGGGCGCAAGCCUGAUCCAGCCAUACCGCGUGGGUGAAGAAGGCCUUCGGGUUGUAAAGCCCUUUUGUUGGGAAAGAAAAGCAGCAGGUUAAUACCCCGCUGUUCUGACGGUACCCAAAGAAUAAGCACCGGCUAACUUCGUG